RNAcentral lists this long non-coding RNA (806 nucleotides) under Ornithorhynchus anatinus (platypus). RNAcentral describes it as "lncRNA (ENSOANG00000044961.1)". The record is from RNAcentral. Lineage: Eukaryota; Metazoa; Chordata; Mammalia; Monotremata; Ornithorhynchidae.
AAUAAGAGGCGAGGCGGGGCAAUAAAGAGGGGCAAUAAGAGGGGAACGUGAGGCGGGGCAAUAGGAGGGGCGCGCGGAGGAGCACGAGGAGGGGCGCGAGACGAGGCACGAGGACCUCGACUGAGCCCAGCCCUCCCCCCGCCCUUUCUUUCGCGUGCGCGCCCCCCCCCGGGAGCGGUGCAGCUGCGGCGGGAGCCCGCGGCCCCGCCCCCGCGGCCGCCCAGGUGGCCGUCAUUGGGCAGAGCGCGCAACUCUCCGGGUGACGUCAGGCGGCGCGGGGCCCGGCGCCAGAAAUAGGGCAGCCUGCCGCGCGCGCCGCCCGCUCUUUUCCUCUUCGCUCCGCUCGCGCUCUCUCUCUCUCUCUCUCUCCUACGGCUGGCGGACCUGCUGCUGCUCCUCCUGCUCCUCCUGCUCCUCCUGCUCCUCCUGCUCCUCCUGCUCCUCCUGCUCCUCCUGCUCCUGCUGCUCCUCGGCCGCCCCCGCCGCACGACCCCCGCACCUGGGCUCCCGGGGGCAGCGGGACCGACCCCGUCCCGUCCCGUCCCGUCCGUCCGUCCGUCCGUCCGCCCGCAGCCCAGGUUUGUGAUAAUGAAAUCGAGAAGCUUUUGGUUCUUUCCUGUGCUGUGUGGGGUCUUUCUGUGGCCCACCCUGGGGCAGAUGGAUUCAGACAGGAGCAGACGCCCUCUUUUAGAAGCAAGAAGGCGGCAACAAGAGGAAUCAAGGAGCUUUGAAGUCACCAGAAGAAAAGAAAGCUGCCACUCCCACCGAUUGUUCUACAAAGUUAGAAUUUACUUUCUUCCCUCACC